GAGGAAUAUUGGACAAUGGAUGGAAAUCUGAUCCAGCCAUGCCGCGUGCAGGAAGACGGCCCUAUGGGUUGUAAACUGCUUUUAUACGGGAGCAAUAAGGUCUAUGCAUAGAUUGAUGAGAGUACCGUAUGAAUAAGCAUCGGCUAACUCCAUGCCAGCAGCCGCGGUAAUACGGAGGAUGCGAGCGUUAUCCGGAUUUAUUGGGUUUAAAGGGUGCGUAGGCGGCUUUGUAAGUCAGCGGUGAAAUUUUGCAGCUUAACUGUAAAAGCGCCGUUGAUACUGUGAAGCUAGGAUUUGGUUGCUGUGGGCGGAAUGUGUGGUGUAGCGGUGAAAUGCAUAGAGAUCACACAGAAUAUCGAUUGCGAAGGCAGCUCACAAAGCCAAUAUUGACGCUGAGGCACGAAAGUGUGGGGAUCAAAC
This 420-nucleotide ribosomal RNA is filed under the name uncultured bacterium. RNAcentral describes it as "bacterial SSU rRNA". It matches the Rfam family "Bacterial small subunit ribosomal RNA", at positions 356 to 773 of the family's 1533-position model. The record is from RNAcentral.